This 916-nucleotide ribosomal RNA is filed under the name uncultured bacterium. RNAcentral's name for it is "bacterial SSU rRNA". It matches the Rfam family "Bacterial small subunit ribosomal RNA", at positions 8 to 916 of the family's 1533-position model. The record is from RNAcentral.
AGAGUUUGAUUAUGGCUCAGAUUGAACGCUGGCGGAAUGCUUUACACAUGCAAGUCGAACGGCAGCACGGGAGCUUGCUCCUGGUGGCGAGUGGCGAACGGGUGAGUAAUGCGUCGGAACGUACCGAGUAAUGGGGGAUAACGCAGCGAAAGCUGUGCUAAUACCGCAUACGCCCUGAGGGGGAAAGUGGGGGAUCGCAAGACCUCACGUUAUUCGAGCGGCCGACGUCUGAUUAGCUAGUUGGUGGGGUAAAGGCUCACCAAGGCGACGAUCAGUAGCGGGUCUGAGAGGAUGAUCCGUCACACUGGAACUGAGACACGGUCCAGACUCCUACGGGAGGCAGCAGUGGGGAAUUUUGGACAAUGGGGGCAACCCUGAUCCAGCCAUUCCGCGUGAGUGAAGAAGGCCUUCGGGUUGUAAAGCUCUUUCAGCCGGAACGAAACGGUACGCACUAAUAUUGUGUGCUAAUGACGGUACCGGCAGAAGAAGCACCGGCUAACUACGUGCCAGCAGCCGCGGUAAUACGUAGGGUGCGAGCGUUAAUCGGAAUUACUGGGCGUAAAGCGUGCGCAGGCGGAUUGUUAAGCAAGAUGUGAAAUCCCCGGGCUUAACCUGGAAUGGCAUUUUGAACUGGCAGUCUAGAGUGUGUCAGAGGGGGGUGGAAUUCCACGUGUAGCAGUGAAAUGCGUAGAUAUGUGGAGGAACACCAAUGGCGAAGGCAGCCCCCUGGGAUAACACUGACGCUCAUGUACGAAAGCGUGGGUAGCAAACAGGAUUAGAUACCCUGGUAGUCCACGCCCUAAACGAUGUCAACUGGUUGUUGGGGGGAGUGAAAUCCCUUAGUAACGAAGCUAACGCGUGAAGUUGACCGCCUGGGGAGUACGGUCGCAAGAUUAAAACUCAAAUGAAUUGACGG